Molecule: transfer RNA, 69 nt
Filed under: Phrynosoma platyrhinos (Desert horned lizard)
Lineage: Eukaryota; Metazoa; Chordata; Lepidosauria; Squamata; Phrynosomatidae
Description: tRNA-OTHER
Rfam family: tRNA
About the family: Transfer RNA (tRNA) molecules are approximately 80 nucleotides in length. Their secondary structure includes four short double-helical elements and three loops (D, anti-codon, and T loops). Further hydrogen bonds mediate the characteristic L-shaped molecular structure. tRNAs have two regions of fundamental functional importance: the anti-codon, which is responsible for specific mRNA codon recognition, and the 3' end, to which the tRNAs corresponding amino acid is attached (by aminoacyl-tRNA synthetases). tRNAs cope with the degeneracy of the genetic code in two manners: having more than one tRNA (with a specific anti-codon) for a particular amino acid; and 'wobble' base-pairing, i.e. permitting non-standard base-pairing at the 3rd anti-codon position.
Source: RNAcentral
AGCAUGGUGUAGUGGUUUAAGCAUUAGACUACAACUCUAAAGUCCAGGGUUCAAAUCCCUGCUUAGCCA